Molecule: ribosomal RNA, 253 nt
Filed under: uncultured bacterium
Lineage: Bacteria
Description: partial 16S ribosomal RNA
Rfam family: Bacterial small subunit ribosomal RNA
Source: RNAcentral
UACGUAGGGGGCGAGCGUUGUCCGGAAUUAUUGGGCGUAAAGAGCGUGUAGGCUGUUCGGUAAGUCUGUCGUGAAAACCUGAGGCUCAACCUCGGGCGUGCGGUGGAUACUGCCGGGCUGGAGGACGGUAGAGGCGAGUGGAAUUCCCGGUGUAGCGGUGAAAUGCGCAGAUAUCGGGAGGAAUACCUAUGGCGAAAGCAGGCUACUGGACCAUCACUGACGCUGAUCUGCGAAAGCUAGGGGAGCAAACAGG